UCAGCAGCUGGCCGAGCCACAGAGCGA
RNAcentral lists this non-coding RNA (27 nucleotides) under Homo sapiens (human). Lineage: Eukaryota; Metazoa; Chordata; Mammalia; Primates; Hominidae. The record is from RNAcentral.